RNAcentral lists this ribosomal RNA (1160 nucleotides) under fungal sp. RNAcentral describes it as "eukaryotic LSU rRNA". The stretch from base 572 to 1160 matches the Rfam family "Eukaryotic large subunit ribosomal RNA", at positions 1 to 599 of the family's 3401-position model. The record is from RNAcentral. Lineage: Eukaryota; Fungi.
GGAUCAUUACUGAGUCACGUGCUCAAACAACCCUUCUGUGGACCGAAAUUUAACCGUUGCCUCGGCGGGCGGUCCCCCGCCAAAACCCCACGUGGUGUAGGUAGGGGACCAAACAGUCCGGUACGCCUAAGGCGUCCGGCGCCAGCCGCUGGCCCUAAACAAUUAAACUCUAGUAACCUUACCUUCUGAGUUUUAAUGCAAAAAAAUAAGUCAAAACUUUCAACAACGGAUCUCUUGGCUCUGGCAUCGAUGAAGAACGCAGCGAAAUGCGAUAAGUAAUGUGAAUUGCAGAAUUCAGUGAAUCAUCGAAUCUUUGAACGCACAUUGCGCCCGCUGGUAUUCCAGCGGGCAUGCCCGUUCGAGCGUCAUUUUAAUUCCUUCCUGUGAAACUCUUCUAUUCUGUAGUGGAGUCCACGGGGCGUUGGCACUGGGCGCCUCAUUUUUAGGCGGCCGGAGCCGAAAUGAAGCGGCGGACUCGCGGCGGCCCCUAGCGCAGUAGAAACAAAGCCUUCUCGCUUAGGAAGAGCCGCAGCGGCGGACCACAGCCCUACAUACUUUUUUCUUAAAAACUUGACCUCGGAUCGGGUAGGACUACCCGCUGAACUUAAGCAUAUCAAUAAGCGGAGGAAAAGAAACCAACAGGGAUUGCCUUAGUAACGGCGAGUGAAGCGGCAACAGCUCAGAUUUGAAAUCUGGCCUUCGGGUCCGAGUUGUAAUCUGUAGAGGAUGCUUCGGGUGCGGUACCUUCCGAGUGCCCUGGAACGGGACGCCAGAGAGGGUGAGAGCCCCGUACGGUUGGAUACCAAGCCCAUGUGAAGCUCCUUCGACGAGUCGAGUAGUUUGGGAAUGCUGCUCAAAAUGGGAGGUAAAUUUCUUCUAAAGCUAAAUACCGGCCAGAGACCGAUAGCGCACAAGUAGAGUGAUCGAAAGAUGAAAAGCACUUUGGAAAGAGGGUUAAAAAGUACGUGAAAUUGUUGAAAGGGAAGCGCUUGCGACCAGACUCGCGCCCCGUGGAUCAUCCGGUGUUCUCACCGGUGCACUCCGCGGGUCUCGGGCCAGCAUCGGUUUGCCCAGGGGGAUAAAAGCUCUGGGAAUGUGGCUCUCUUCGGGGAGUGUUAUAGCCCACUGUGGAAUACCCCUGGCGUAGACCGAGGACCGCG